Molecule: ribosomal RNA, 825 nt
Filed under: uncultured Thermaceae bacterium
Lineage: Bacteria; Thermotogati; Deinococcota; Deinococci; Thermales; Thermaceae
Description: bacterial SSU rRNA
Rfam family: Bacterial small subunit ribosomal RNA
Source: RNAcentral
GAGGGUGCGAGCGUUACCCGGAUUUACUGGGCGUAAAGGGCGUGUAGGCGGUCUUUCAAGUCCGAUGCUAAAGACUGGGGCUCAACCCCAGGGGUGCGUUGGAUACUGUGAGGCUAGACGGUCGGAGGGGGUAGCGGAAUUUCCGGAGUAGCGGUGAAAUGCGCAGAUACCGGAAGGAACGCCAAUAGCGAAGGCAGCUACCUGGACGACUUGUGACGCUGAGGCGCGAAAGCGUGGGGAGCAAACCGGAUUAGAUACCCGGGUAGUCCACGCCCUAAACCAUGAGUGCUGGGUGUCCGGCUUCUGCUGGGUGCCGUAGCUAACGCGCUAAGCACUCCGCCUGGGAAGUACGCACGCAAGUGUGAAACUCAAAGGAAUUGACGGGGGCCCGCACAAGCGGUGGAGCAUGUGGUUUAAUUCGAAGCGACGCGAAGAACCUUACCAGGCCUUGACAUGCCCGGAACCCCUCUGAAAGGAGGGGGUGCCCGCAAGGGAGCCGGGACACAGGUGCUGCAUGGCCGUCGUCAGCUCGUGUCGUGAGAUGUUGGGUUAAGUCCCGCAACGAGCGCAACCCCUAUCCCUAGUUGCCAGCAGUUCGGCUGGGCACUCUAUGGAGACUGCCUGCGAAAGCAGGAGGAAGGCGGGGAUGACGUCUGGUCCGCAUGGCCCUUACGGCCUGGGCGACACACGUGCUACAAUGCCAAGGACAGAGCGCUGCUACCUCGCGAGAGGACGCCAAUCGCAAAAACCUUGGCUCAGUUCGGAUUGGAGUCUGCAACUCGACUCCAUGAAGCCGGAAUCGCUAGUAAUCGCGAUCAGCCAUGU